UGACCAAUCAAGCCUGGCUUGGUAUUAGGGCACGCGGUUCCGCGGCCCUUAAAAUCAGUGGCGGCGCCGGUGGGCUCUAAGCGUAGUAAUAUUUCUCGCUAUUGAGUCUCCUCUUGGUGGCUUGCCAAAACUCCCUAAUUUCUCAC
RNAcentral lists this unclassified non-coding RNA (146 nucleotides) under uncultured Ascomycota. RNAcentral's name for it is "sequence contains ITS2". RNAcentral also lists the same sequence under 1 other name. Lineage: Eukaryota; Fungi; Ascomycota. The record is from RNAcentral.